Molecule: ribosomal RNA, 2519 nt
Filed under: Escherichia coli
Lineage: Bacteria; Pseudomonadati; Pseudomonadota; Gammaproteobacteria; Enterobacterales; Enterobacteriaceae
Description: partial 23S ribosomal RNA
Rfam family: Bacterial large subunit ribosomal RNA
Source: RNAcentral
CGGGACACGUGGUAUCCUGUCUGAAUAUGGGGGGACCAUCCUCCAAGGCUAAAUACUCCUGACUGACCGAUAGUGAACCAGUACCGUGAGGGAAAGGCGAAAAGAACCCCGGCGAGGGGAGUGAAAAAGAACCUGAAACCGUGUACGUACAAGCAGUGGGAGCCUCUUUAUGGGGUGACUGCGUACCUUUUGUAUAAUGGGUCAGCGACUUAUAUUCUGUAGCAAGGUUAACCGAAUAGGGGAGCCGAAGGGAAACCGAGUCUUAACUGGGCGUUAAGUUGCAGGGUAUAGACCCGAAACCCGGUGAUCUAGCCAUGGGCAGGUUGAAGGUUGGGUAACACUAACUGGAGGACCGAACCGACUAAUGUUGAAAAAUUAGCGGAUGACUUGUGGCUGGGGGUGAAAGGCCAAUCAAACCGGGAGAUAGCUGGUUCUCCCCGAAAGCUAUUUAGGUAGCGCCUCGUGAAUUCAUCUCCGGGGGUAGAGCACUGUUUCGGCAAGGGGGUCAUCCCGACUUACCAACCCGAUGCAAACUGCGAAUACCGGAGAAUGUUAUCACGGGAGACACACGGCGGGUGCUAACGUCCGUCGUGAAGAGGGAAACAACCCAGACCGCCAGCUAAGGUCCCAAAGUCAUGGUUAAGUGGGAAACGAUGUGGGAAGGCCCAGACAGCCAGGAUGUUGGCUUAGAAGCAGCCAUCAUUUAAAGAAAGCGUAAUAGCUCACUGGUCGAGUCGGCCUGCGCGGAAGAUGUAACGGGGCUAAACCAUGCACCGAAGCUGCGGCAGCGACGCUUAUGCGUUGUUGGGUAGGGGAGCGUUCUGUAAGCCUGCGAAGGUGUGCUGUGAGGCAUGCUGGAGGUAUCAGAAGUGCGAAUGCUGACAUAAGUAACGAUAAAGCGGGUGAAAAGCCCGCUCGCCGGAAGACCAAGGGUUCCUGUCCAACGUUAAUCGGGGCAGGGUGAGUCGACCCCUAAGGCGAGGCCGAAAGGCGUAGUCGAUGGGAAACAGGUUAAUAUUCCUGUACUUGGUGUUACUGCGAAGGGGGGACGGAGAAGGCUAUGUUGGCCGGGCGACGGUUGUCCCGGUUUAAGCGUGUAGGCUGGUUUUCCAGGCAAAUCCGGAAAAUCAAGGCUGAGGCGUGAUGACGAGGCACUACGGUGCUGAAGCAACAAAUGCCCUGCUUCCAGGAAAAGCCUCUAAGCAUCAGGUAACAUCAAAUCGUACCCCAAACCGACACAGGUGGUCAGGUAGAGAAUACCAAGGCGCUUGAGAGAACUCGGGUGAAGGAACUAGGCAAAAUGGUGCCGUAACUUCGGGAGAAGGCACGCUGAUAUGUAGGUGAAGCGACUUGCUCGUGGAGCUGAAAUCAGUCGAAGAUACCAGCUGGCUGCAACUGUUUAUUAAAAACACAGCACUGUGCAAACACGAAAGUGGACGUAUACGGUGUGACGCCUGCCCGGUGCCGGAAGGUUAAUUGAUGGGGUUAGCGGUAACGCGAAGCUCUUGAUCGAAGCCCCGGUAAACGGCGGCCGUAACUAUAACGGUCCUAAGGUAGCGAAAUUCCUUGUCGGGUAAGUUCCGACCUGCACGAAUGGCGUAAUGAUGGCCAGGCUGUCUCCACCCGAGACUCAGUGAAAUUGAACUCGCUGUGAAGAUGCAGUGUACCCGCGGCAAGACGGAAAGACCCCGUGAACCUUUACUAUAGCUUGACACUGAACAUUGAGCCUUGAUGUGUAGGAUAGGUGGGAGGCUUUGAAGUGUGGACGCCAGUCUGCAUGGAGCCGACCUUGAAAUACCACCCUUUAAUGUUUGAUGUUCUAACGUUGGCCCCUGAUCGGGGUUGCGGACAGUGUCUGGUGGGUAGUUUGACUGGGGCGGUCUCCUCCUAAAGAGUAACGGAGGAGCACGAAGGUUGGCUAAUCCUGGUCGGACAUCAGGAGGUUAGUGCAAUGGCAUAAGCCAGCUUGACUGCGAGCGUGACGGCGCGAGCAGGUGCGAAAGCAGGUCAUAGUGAUCCGGUGGUUCUGAAUGGAAGGGCCAUCGCUCAACGGAUAAAAGGUACUCCGGGGAUAACAGGCUGAUACCGCCCAAGAGUUCAUAUCGACGGCGGUGUUUGGCACCUCGAUGUCGGCUCAUCACAUCCUGGGGCUGAAGUAGGUCCCAAGGGUAUGGCUGUUCGCCAUUUAAAGUGGUACGCGAGCUGGGUUUAGAACGUCGUGAGACAGUUCGGUCCCUAUCUGCCGUGGGCGCUGGAGAACUGAGGGGGGCUGCUCCUAGUACGAGAGGACCGGAGUGGACGCAUCACUGGUGUUCGGGUUGUCAUGCCAAUGGCACUGCCCGGUAGCUAAAUGCGGAAGAGAUAAGUGCUGAAAGCAUCUAAGCACGAAACUUGCCCCGAGAUGAGUUCUCCCUGAGACUUUAAGUCUCCUGAAGGAACGUUGAAGACGACGACGUUGAUAGGCCGGGUGUGUAAGCGCAGCGAUGCGUUGAGCUAACCGGUACUAAUGAACCGUGAGG